This 337-nucleotide unclassified non-coding RNA is filed under the name soil metagenome. RNAcentral describes it as "partial contains 5.8S ribosomal RNA, internal transcribed spacer 2, and large subunit ribosomal RNA". The stretch from base 1 to 120 matches the Rfam family "5.8S ribosomal RNA", at positions 35 to 154 of the family's 154-position model. The record is from RNAcentral.
GAUGAAGAACGUAGCGAAAUGCGAUAAGUAGUGUGAAUUGCAGAAUUCAGUGAAUCAUCGAAUCUUUGAACGCACAUUGCGCCCCUUGGUAUUCCAUGGGGCAUGCCUGUUCGAGCGUCAUUUGUACCCUCAAGCUCUGCUUGGUGUUGGGUGUUUGUCUCGCCUCUGCGUGUAGACUCGCCUCAAAACAAUUGGCAGCCGGCGUAUUGAUUUCGGAGCGCAGUACAUCUCGCGCUUUGCACUCAUAACGACGACGUCCAAAAGUACAUUUUUACACUCUUGACCUCGGAUCAGGUAGGGAUACCCGCUGAACUUAAGCAUAUCAAUAAGCGGAGGA